CUGCUUACACACUGCAGUCGUGCGAGAAAGUAUCUUCGGAUAUGAGUAGAGCGGCGGACGGGUGAGUACGCGUAGGAAUCUACCUAGUAGAAGGGGAUAGCCCGGGGAAACCCGGAUUAAUACCGUAUACCUCCUUCGGGAGAAAGAAGGCCUCUCUUUGAAGUUUUCGCUAUUAGAUGAGCCUGCGUAAGAUUAGCUUGUUGGUGAGGUAAAGGCUCACCAAGGCGACGAUCUUUAGCUGGUCUGAGAGGACGAUCAGCCACAUUGGGACUGAGACACGGCCCAGACUCCUACGGGAGGCAGCAGUGGGGAAUAUUGGACAAUGGGCGCAAGCCUGAUCCAGCCAUACCGCGUGUGUGAAGAAGGCCUUCGGGUUGUAAAGCACUUUAAGCAGGGAGAAAAAGUUAUAAGUUAAUACCUUAUAACCGUGAUGUUACCUGCAGAAUAAGCACCGGCUAAUUCCGUGCCAGCAGCCGCGGUAAUACGGAAGGUGCAAGCGUUAAUCGGAAUUACUGGGCGUAAAGCGCGCGUAGGUGGUUUGUUAAGUUGGAUGUGAAAGCCCUGGGCUCAACCUAGGAACUGCAUCCAAAACUAACUCACUAGAGUACGAUAGAGGGAGGUAGAAUUCAUAGUGUAGCGGUGGAAUGCGUAGAUCUUAUGAAGAAUACCAGUGGCGAAGGCGGCCUCCUGGAUCUGUACUGACACUGAGGUGCGAAGGCGUGGGUAGCGAACAGGAUUAGAUACCCUGGUAGUCCACGCCGUAAACGAUGACCACUAGCUGUUGGAAGACAACGUCUUUCAGUGGG
Molecule: ribosomal RNA, 806 nt
Filed under: uncultured Gammaproteobacteria bacterium
Lineage: Bacteria; Pseudomonadati; Pseudomonadota; Gammaproteobacteria
Description: bacterial SSU rRNA
Rfam family: Bacterial small subunit ribosomal RNA
Source: RNAcentral